CUGCCGCAGGGCGCAGUCAGCACCGAGCCGGAGCCGCCGGGCCGCGGCCAGGCUGCCGGAAUCCACCUGGCACACUUUCGGAAAGACAAACGCGGUUCCUCCUACUUCAGAGCAAGUCCCGGCCAGCUGGGAGCCGACCAGAAACCGCAAGCGGAGGAGACGCAGGCACGCGGGCCUCCUCUUGGGUGGAAAUGAACUUGCUUUGGAGAGAUGUUCUACUAUCAUUUUGCUUUAGGUAGAUACAAGCUGAAGCAUUAAGCCUUGCACAGUGUUCUGAACUCAUUAAGCAAUUAAAAUACUGGUCCUGUU
Molecule: long non-coding RNA, 309 nt
Organism: Leptonychotes weddellii (Weddell seal)
Lineage: Eukaryota; Metazoa; Chordata; Mammalia; Carnivora; Phocidae
Source: RefSeq, a predicted model, not a curated record